Molecule: transfer RNA, 89 nt
Filed under: Bartonella quintana
Lineage: Bacteria; Pseudomonadati; Pseudomonadota; Alphaproteobacteria; Hyphomicrobiales; Bartonellaceae
Description: tRNA-Ser
Rfam family: tRNA
About the family: Transfer RNA (tRNA) molecules are approximately 80 nucleotides in length. Their secondary structure includes four short double-helical elements and three loops (D, anti-codon, and T loops).
Source: RNAcentral
GGAGAGAUGGCUGAGUGGUUGAAAGCACCGCACUCGAAAUGCGGCAUAGGGGCAACUCUAUCGGGGUUCAAAUCCCUCUCUCUCCGCCA